RNAcentral lists this ribosomal RNA (405 nucleotides) under bacterium. RNAcentral's name for it is "partial 16S ribosomal RNA". It matches the Rfam family "Bacterial small subunit ribosomal RNA", at positions 355 to 776 of the family's 1533-position model. The record is from RNAcentral.
UAAGGAAUAUUGCGCAAUGGGGGAAACCCUGACGCAGCAACGCCGCGUGGAGGAUGACACUUUUCGGAGCGUAAACUCCUUUUAUCAGGAAAGAAUAAUGACGGUACCUGAUGAAUAAGCACCGGCUAACUCCGUGCCAGCAGCCGCGGUAAUACGGGGGGUGCAAGCGUUACUCGGAAUCACUGGGCGUAAAGGACGCGUAGGCGGAUUAUCAAGUCUUUUGUGAAAUCUAGUGGCUUAAGCACUAAACUGCUUAGGAAACUGAUAGUCUAGAGUAGGGGAGAGGUAGAUGGAAUUCUUGGUGUAGGGGUAAAAUCCGUAGAGAUCAAGAAGAAUACCCAUUGCGAAAGCGAUCUGCUGGAACCUAACUGACGCUGAGGCGUGAAAGCGUGGGUAGCAAACAGG